Astyanax mexicanus (Mexican tetra) is the source of this 1212-nucleotide long non-coding RNA. RefSeq lists it as uncharacterized. The transcript has 4 exons. The record is from RefSeq and is a predicted model, not a curated record. NCBI's taxonomy places the organism in Eukaryota, Metazoa, Chordata, Actinopteri, Characiformes, Acestrorhamphidae.
CCUCUUGCUCUGAUGUGGCAGUGCAGCAAGAGGAACCGCCUCACAGCGAGUUUCUGCCAUCUCCUGGAUCCACUGCAUCUACUGCAGCUACCGCUCAAAGCAAAUCUCCACAGAUUAAUAAGCAGUGAGGCUUGUGUGGAUGUGACUGGCUCUUCUGAAUCUCCUUGAUGAGGUGAAUACAUCACAGGCUGCAUGAUGUAAACAUACACAUGAUAGUAUAUGAAGAUGGAUCACAUGAAGGCAGCAGGAAGCCGAUGAGAGUUGUGGUUCAUAUCUCUGACAGUUGCUGCCAUUGGGGGCACUUUACGCAUAUCCAUGUAUUCUGCGUUCUUGUCUGCAUUCUUCUGUCUCACUUGCUUCUGAAAGAGGUUAGUAGGUCAAAGGGUGAUGCCUGAAAACACACAGAGAGUCCACUGUUGUUUGCAUGUAACACGCUAAACUGAGCCUCAGAAAACGCAGGACAGACGACGGAGAGCACUGCAGUCAUCCGAACGAUCCAGCAGCCGUCGAGCAUAUCUGCACUGCUGCCUCUCAGAAGUGACUAAAGAAGACACCUGGUUCCUGUUCUAGACAAUGCAUGGGAGGAUUCGCAGGUCGAGAAACCUACAGGAUGGAGGAUUUAGAUUAAGUGCACAAAAUGUGAUUUUAUCAAUUACCAAAGAGCUAUCAACAUGUCAUAUCAGUUCUCUUUAAACUUUUCCUCUUAACUGUUCAGUGAAAUAUUAAUAAAAAAGCACAUUAUUCUCAUUCAGCAGCACAGUAGAUAUUAAAUAAGCAGAAAAUUAUAAAUAUUGGCAGAACAUUCAAACUAAAUUAAGGACAUACUUUCUAUAUUAUUAGGUGUAAUCUAUCGAAACAGCUCAGCCCACCCUGCGUAUUCUAUUUUCCACCCUUCUUGUGGAAAUGUGUCUCCUCUUGCUUUGAAGGAGGACCUUUUCAGAAAUGAGUCACAACUUUCCUUUUCAUUGGUCACAUCAUCAUUUAUUUCUCGCUUCGUGAACUUCUCACGAAGCCUUUUUAUUCUUUUUUUCUUUCUUUUUUUUUGCCUUUUCUUGCACAUUUUAGUUUCCUGUACUGCUUUUUGUUCUUUCUGCCUUUCUUUUUUUUUUGCAAGUGUGAGGCAAAGGAAAAUACCAGUUUUAGAUUUCUUGUGGUUAUAAAAAAAAAGCCAGACAUGGAAAUUUUUUAAUCCUUUUUGAGUAAUAUUAUUUG